UACGUAGGUGACGAGCGUUGUCCGGAUUUACUGGGCGUAAAGAGCGCGCAGGCGGUCGUUCAAGUCGCGUGUGAAAGCCCCCGGCUCAACUGGGGAGGGUCACGCGAUACUGACCGACUCGAAGGCAGGAGAGGGAAGUGGAAUUCCCGGUGUAGUGGUGAAUGCGUAGAUAUCGGGAGGAACACCAGUGGCGAAGGCGACUUCCUGGCCUGUUCUUGACGCUGAGGCGCGAAAGCUAGGGGAGCAAACGGG
This 252-nucleotide ribosomal RNA is filed under the name uncultured bacterium. RNAcentral describes it as "partial 16S ribosomal RNA". It matches the Rfam family "Bacterial small subunit ribosomal RNA", at positions 524 to 776 of the family's 1533-position model. The record is from RNAcentral.